This is a non-coding RNA of Durio zibethinus, 3079 nucleotides long. The record is from RefSeq and is a predicted model, not a curated record. Lineage: Eukaryota; Viridiplantae; Streptophyta; Magnoliopsida; Malvales; Malvaceae.
UGUGUCCCAUGAUUCUGGAAGGCGGAAAGGGUGAAAUAGAAACUGAAAAGGGCAAUAAGUGAAAGUUGAAGGACUUAACUGCAAAAGUGAAUUUAUAGCAAAUCUACUGAAAUUGAAGGCAUGUAACCCUUAUCCCAAAUUUCUUGUUGAGAAAACCGCUAACACAAACUUCAAAUUCCCAAACAUGUCCUCAUCCUGUCCUAAAAGCUAAACCCCAGCAAACUAAAACGGCAAAACCCCCCGAAAAUUUAUUCGAUGUCACUCUCACGAUGCUGCUUCAUUUUCUCGGCGCCCAAACAGAUUAAAUUUCUCUCUUGUUAGAAAUUAUAAUAAUUUUCCUUGCAGAUUUUGUAGGCCGAAUAUUACGUUUAACUGAAAAUGUCAUCUUUAUCAGUAAAUUUUUUGUAUCAAGAUAGACGCGUACCUGCUGGGAAACCAGGCUACAAUCACUUACAGACACCAUUUGUAGGUUCUUUGCCGGCUGGAAUAUUACAAGUUAGAGUUGGCUUGAAUAAACUGUUGAAGAGGGCUAAUUUAUUUCCUUGUAUUAAGUGUGAGAAGAAAGAGGAACCUGUUGAACAUGUGUAUGUUGAGCGUCCUCCUUAUUAUAUCUAUUUGGACUCGACAUCUGGGGAGCUUGAACCAGCAUCUGGUGCUCGUGCAAGUAUUCCAGGAGAGGAGUACUGGCCUGAAGGCACUGCUAGUCAAGUUAGGGCUGCCAGGGCUCCUGAACCAACUGGAACUUCGACGGGAUCUCCGUCUUAUGGAAAAAGUCCAGGGAGUAGGAGGAAGAAGUAUAAAACAUCAGCUGCUUCUGAAUCUUCUCAAGUGAGCAUUGAACCAAGUGAUCACAUGGAACCUAAAAUUGGUGAGGACAUAGUGGAGGAUCCUAAAGAUUCCUCAUCAGAGUAUGUUAUUUACCAGACAGAACCUGAAGAAGAUGAGGAUUCUGGAUAUGAAUUAGACAAGAAACUUGGACGUCCUCAUCCAUUUAUUGAUCCAAUAGUGAAGAAGCCAAUGGAGGAACCGCUUACCAGUGAAGAACUGUGGUGGAAUUGGAGAAAGCCAGAAAAAGAAAUAUGGUCUAGAUGGCAAAGGAGACGACCUGAUGUUGAAACAGUUUUUCUCAAAGCAAUGGCUAAGACUGGGCAAGUAAAGAUUUAUGGUGAACAUCCAACAUUAACUGAAACUGCCCUUUAUAGAGCUAGGCGACAUCUUUUCAAGGAAGAAAGGCUUAAAGCUGAACAAGAAAGACUAGAGAGAAUUGGUCCAAUGGCAUACUACUCAGAAUGGGUGAAAGCAUGGAAGAGAGACACUUCACGUGAAACUAUUCAGAAACAUUUUGAAGAGACUGGUGAAGAUGAAAAUACUCAAUUGAUUGAAAUGUUUUGUCAUCAAACAGAUCGAGAAUAUAGGAUUAUGAUGGGGACUGAUGUCCGUAUCAAGAGGGAUCCUCUAGCAAUGCGAAUGACAGAGAAUGAAAUAAAGCAAAUAUGGGGUGGAGAUCCAGUUUACCCAACUGUGAACUAUAUUCAAGAUCCAGAUGAAGUGAUUGAUUAUAGGGGACCAGAUUUUCAUGAACCAACACCAAAUAUGCUGGACUAUCUGAAGGAGCAUGGCAAACUCAUAACAAGGGAGGAGCUUGAGAAAAUUUUGGCAAAAGAGAAGAAGACUGAAGAACUCGAGAUGACAGAUAUAGAUGAUGCUAUGGCCCAAGCUGUUGAUAUUGGUGAAAAUGAAGAUGAUGAAGAGGAAGACAGUAAUGUUGAUGGUGAAGAAGAAGAGGAGAAAAUCACACGCAAUUGGAGUGUUCUGAAAAGUACUCCUCAGCUUCGAAAGUCAAAGGCUAAGCCAAAAAAGGAGGACCCAAUGUCCUUGGAAGAGGCUAUCGACGAUUCAGAGAACUUGACUGAUUUUCUCAUGGACUUUGAAGAAGAUGAGUGAGGGCUAUCUACCAUCGAAAAUUUCUCUGAGUAGCAUACAAUAUGAUUUCUAGGGAGUGAAAUUGAAAGUUAGUAAGUGAAUGCUACAUAACUGAGAGAAAAGUGUAUGGGGAGAUGGAGUUGGCGUGUGUAGGUAUGGAUAGGUGAGAGAGUGAAGAUGGUGAAACGUCUAAGGUUUUCCAUGUCAAAUGCACUCUGAUUGAUUCAUAACUCCGCUACUUGAGGACGUUUGAAAAUUUAACGACAGUUGAAGAGGUUCUUCUGCAAUUACAGAUUGUUAGUAAGACUGUUUCGUGUGUCAUCUUAGGGGCCUGUAUUCAAAGUCAGAACCACUUGCAAGCAAUCAUCAAUGAGUGCAAGAAAAAAGACUGUAAAAUGGAGUAAUGGGUUUAUCAGGAAAUCGAUGGAUAUUACACUUGAACUUGAAUACGAGCAUUUUCUGUAAUCUUUUCAUUUACAAGGCUUGAAGAGAAUCCAAAAAGGACCCAGACCUAGAAUAUUCGGUGAUCAAGUAUUUUCUUCUUCCAUUAUCCUUCUUGAGCUAUGGUAUUUUCACACUUACAAAAGUUUUUGCUACUUCAUUCAAUUGAAAAAACAGAGUCCCAUCAGCUUCAGCCCUGUUCACCCCAAAGUUUAAAAAGAAAACGGCCAAAAAUGUUGAGUCUUCGAGCAUUGAUCUGGUCAAAAGCUUGCCUUCCUAUAACCUGAUUAAAAUUGCAAGUUGCUGGAAAAAAGUGCAGCAAGUGAGGUAGCCCAUACAUGGUUUCCUUCACACAAAUUUGUGGUUUAGGUUAUAAACCCAUUCAUCCCAUUUCCUAACCCAUUUAUGUUUGAAUUUGCAGCCUUUGGUGCAAGUUGGAAGAUAUGCUAUGACUCAAGUUAAAAGCAAAUUAUUUGUUAUUAUAUACUUUUUUGCAAAAACUUGUGUAGGUUUAUAAUCAUCUUUUAAACAAUAUUCAAAACAAUAUAUAUUUUUUUUAUCAAUUCUGAAUUGCAAACUUUUUAUUAAAAAAAUCUAAUCCCAUGUAAAGAGAAAGAUCAUUAGGGCUAGAGCCCCAUUUCAGAAUUAAAAUCAUAAUUUAUCUUAUGUAAGCAGGAUAUUCCCACUCGUCUCCACAUUUCAAAGUUGGGAGUGU